RNAcentral lists this small RNA (5556 nucleotides) under Pongo abelii (Sumatran orangutan). RNAcentral's name for it is "processed transcript". Lineage: Eukaryota; Metazoa; Chordata; Mammalia; Primates; Hominidae. The record is from RNAcentral.
GGCAGCGAGUCGGGGCCUGAGCGUGAAGAGCAUGCCCUAGUGAGCGGGCUCCUCUGGGGGAGCCCAGCGCGCUCCGGGCGCCGGCCGGUUUGGGGGUGUCUCCUCCCGGGGCGCCAUGGCGGCGCUGGCCAGUAGCCUGAUCCGGCAGAAGCGAGAGGUCCGCGAGCCCGGGGGCAGCCGGCCGGUGUCGGCGCAGCGGCGCGUGUGUCCCCGCGGCACCAAGUCCCUUUGCCAGAAGCAGCUCCUCAUCCUGCUGUCCAAGGUGCGACUGUGCGGGGGGCGGCCCGCGCUGCCGGACCGCGGCCCGGGUGAGUGCGGCUGGGGCGGGGUCUCCCGGCCAGAGGUUUCUCUGCCUGGGAGAUUGAGGCCAGGGACUCUGAAGAAUAGGGCCCGGCUGAGGGGCUCCCCGAAAGUGGAAGGGGGUGGGCCAGGACGACAAAGUCCCUGCCAGACUCUGCCUCCGUUUCCCUUCUCUUUUGUCCAUAACCCGGAGACUCCUUAUUUUCGAGGUCAAGGGGAAGGCUUGAGGGGCUGUCUGGCGCCCCGAAAGCCUCGCAGUUCCUGCUCGUCCCCCCUUCCCAACACAGCAGUCCCCACCCCCAUCGUCCUCCGCCUACGUGCCGGUUCUCGCGAUUCUUUCAAUCUGGAGCGGAGGGGCCUGGGGGUUUCCAGAUGCCUGGGUCACCCCAAGGAUUUCUGCAGCUCCAGCCGCACGCCCCCCCCCAGCCCCCGCCCGCCCCGGUUCUCCCGCUCCUCCACCCCUGGGCUCGAUUCCUCCUGGUCGAGCUCUCCUGGCUCCGAGCCAACUCCCCAGCUCUCCCUCGGGUGUCCUUGCAGCUACCUCGCCAGCCAGCCCUCUAUGCGCCCUCCUCCAGUGACCUGCGCUUCAAGAACGGAGCUAGGCACCCCCUCCCAUAACCCCCGCGCCACUCCGAAAUCGGGUCCCGUAGGCUCAGGGGACCCUACGCUGGGAGGAACUCAGACGCAGUUCACGGCUAGAGAUGGGCGCCGACUCUUGGGGGUCGUACCACCUACAAGGGGGGACAGGGAAGUCGGCAGAGAGCAAGCGAUGGGGGAGGAGAGUUGUGAGAGUUAGAAUGUGGUCCUCGUCCAUGUACGACAGUCAGGGAGUCCCUCUGGCCCUGCUCCCGCCCGCUCCCAGCUCCCCUAAGGGUAGCCCCCUCGAGCCCUCCUCCCCGCGCCACCGGCUGCCCAUAGUGGUACAAUCCGCAGCCCACCCUCUGAGUGGGACCGGGCCCCCACGUGACUCAGCCUGCCUCUCCAUCUCCUCAGCUCCCACCCCCCAUAUCCUUGGUAAGGUCCCCCUUACCCCAGGCGGGUUACCUGGCCGAAGGGGAGAGGCUGAGCCUCAGGGAGAACUGGGCCCCCGCGAGCCAGCAGACAGACAGACAGACAGACAGACAGACAGAUGGGUCAGUGUCAGACAGGCCGGCGCUGGGCCAAGGCAAGGCUCUCGUCAAGCUAGCGGCAGCCGCAGCAGGUGCUGAGUCAGCGUCAAGCCCAGUCCCACCCCCACUCCUGAGGGAGAGCCCCUACCCUGUGGUCAAUUUGCUGCUGCCAAGGUCCCCCACCUUCGCAAACACGCUGCCCCUUCAGUACCCCUGCUGGUCUCCCUCUGUCCCUGCCUUUUGAUAUAUCUCUCCCCUCCCUCCUCCCCCACUCCUCCCCCCUUCUGGUUGAGCUGUAGGGUAGGAAUUAAGCCAUUUAAAUAAAUUUCAAUAAAUUACACUGAAAGCUCCUGGUUAUAGGAAACAGAAGGGACCCACACCAGCUUUCCCAGGAGUGAAAGAGAGGUGGGAGAGAGCGUGCUUGGAGGAUAAGAGAGCUGGGGCCCUGGGACCCUCUUCCUUCCUUUCAUUCUCCUUUCUUCCCUCUGAUCCUGCCAAGUGUAGGAAUGUUUCUGGGAACAGAGAUGUCAUUUUCAAAGAUGAAUGUCUCUCUCUCCAGAGCCUCAGCUCAAAGGCAUCGUCACCAAACUGUUCUGCCGCCAGGGUUUCUACCUCCAGGCGAAUCCCGACGGAAGCAUCCAGGGCACCCCAGAGGAUACCAGCUCCUUCACCCACUUCAACCUGAUCCCUGUGGGCCUCCGUGUGGUCACCAUCCAGAGCGCCAAGCUGGGUCACUACAUGGCCAUGAAUGCUGAGGGACUGCUCUACAGUUCGCCGCAUUUCACAGCUGAGUGUCGCUUUAAGGAGUGUGUCUUUGAGAAUUACUACGUCCUGUACGCCUCUGCUCUCUACCGCCAGCGUCGUUCUGGCCGGGCCUGGUACCUUGGCCUGGACAAGGAGGGCCAGAUCAUGAAGGGAAACCGAGUUAAGAAGACCAAGGCAGCUGCCCACUUUCUGCCCAAGCUCCUGGAGGGUGGGUAUAGACUCAAGAAAAUGUGGGCCACAGGAGAGGGUAUUGACCUUGAUACGGACAUUUAGCGGCAGACAGCUCAGGCUACAAGUGAUAAGAGGACCCUUUAUGACAGAUCAAGCCAGGAAGGCUUUGCCCUUUGGGGGUUUGGGUGCUGUCCUCCUGUGGGGUUGGGGUUCUGGGAGGGUGAAUGUACGGGAAGGGAGCCCUUUCGGAGCACUGGUUCUGCCUGGGUCCCUCUGUGCCUAACUCUCCUUCCCUGCUCCUCUCUUUCUCCCCUUCACAGUGGCCAUGUACCGGGAGCCUUCUCUCCACAGUGUCCCCGAGGCCUCCCCUUCCAGUCCCCCUGCCCCCUGAAAUGUAGUCCCUGGACUGGAGGUUCCCUGCACUCCCAGUGAGCCAGCCACCACCACAACCUGUCUCCCAGUCCUGCUCUCACCCCUGCUGCCAUACACAUGCCCUGAGCAGCCAGGUCCCACCAGGUGCUCUACCCUGAGGGAGCCUAGGGGCUGGCUGUAACUUCCGAGGCUGCUGAGACCCUUAGAUCCUUGGGCCUAGGAGGCAGUCAGAGAGGGGGAUGUCUGAAGAUGGUCCUGGCUGGUCACUUCUUUCUUUCCACACUCACACAACCCCAUGCCUUUUCCUGAGAUGGCGCUGGGAGUUCCCACAUGGACAGCCAGGACAUAAACACUUCCCACCCCGGCUCAGCAAGUUCCUGGAGUCCUGUGCCCCAUUUCAUUGCCACUGAGCCAUUUCUAGAUUCACUGGAGCUCAGGAUUCAUGUGUCCUUCUUUCCCUACUCUACCUUCUACCUUGGUCUGGACACAUUCUGGAACACUGGACACCCUAGCCAGGGCCACUUCUGCACUAGGGCUCUGUGCUGGAACCCAGGCAUGCCGCCAGCCUUUGCUCUGGAUCCAUCAGGCUUCUGUCCUUGACUCAGAUGGACCCCUGGUUUCCAAGUAGAAAGAGGCUAGAUUUGGGCCUUGUCUAGCUGUUGGCUUUGGCCUGAACUGGAACCAGUCUCAGAUGACCACGGGUUUAACCUUCUUAUCCCAGAGACACCCAAUUCUAGAGCUUUAUGGAGCCAUACUUCCCCCUGAAUCCUAGCUCUAGGACAUAGAUCAUGACUGUCAGCCCUUUUACCCAGGAUGGAGCUGGGGCCUGUAUAGCCAUAUUAUUGCUCUAAGUAAGUUCUAGCCCCACCCUCCCACCUUCUUGAGUGAUACCUAUUACGGAUGAGUUCUGGAAAAGACCCAGCUAUGAUUCAUAAAAACAGUUCUGGAUGAAUCAAGAACCAUUUCUUGUUUUUCCUAGAUAAUUCUCUAAAAAUAUGAUUCUUCCAUAUAGAAUGCUAAGCUUAUUUUUACAUGCAGUUUCUAGCUCCUUCAACCCAGCUGAGGUCGUGCCAGGGAGACAGAGUCUGGAGAAGGGCAGAGGAAUUUUGGAAGGAUCCCUGGCUCAUAGUAGGGAAGCUGGGCUGGGGGAGGGGUCAAAAUUAUGGCAUGAUUGAACCUGCAUCUGUGUUGGGUGGACAUGAAUACUUAGCUACCUCAGCAGGAAUUCCUUCCAGGUCCCCUUUAAAGCUGAGGUCCUUAGAGUAAUAUGUCCUGAAUAAAAAGGACAAAUGGAUACAGCCUUGACCCUCCCAGUGAGGAGACCCCAAUUCAGCAAUAAGUCUCACCCUUCUCCCCUACAGGUCAGGCCAAGGAGGGUGAAGGCCUCUUGCACUCCAGACCUCAUACGCCCCAACAGCUUCUAAUUGGAUAGAACUUGCUUUACCUUACAGCUUACAACCUCAGCUGGGUUUUAGGUACCCAAAAAGGGCCUGUCUAGAUUUUUUCAGAAAAACGUGGAGCGCUAGGGGCAGCCUGGAAAAGACUGGGAACCUGCUAGUGAACUAGGAGGGAGACUUCCAUAGCCUCAGACUUGGAUAGGGUAGGCUGAGGGGGCCCUAAGGGAGGGACUAAGGCUCCAAGGCAGGUCACUUUUCCUUAGGCUGUUCUACUUCUGGCUUGUUGCAGGAGGAGUAGAUGCCCCCCCACCCACACAAACCCCGCUCAGGCUCCACCCAACUCCUGGCACUGCUCCCAGGGGAUCGGGUCUCCACUCCAGCUUUCUCAAUUAAAGACGAUUUAUACAACUGAAGUGCUGUCUGUCAUCUGUCGGUGGCGGGCUUGGCAGUUGCUCGAGGCAGGAUCAAGUCCCGGGGGCGGGGCGGGUGGGCUGGUGGCUGCCCCCCAGCAACAGGUGCACAUUCCCGGGCUCCUCGUCACUUCCCUUGUGCUGGCGGUCCCAGCGGCUCUCUGAGCGAAGUCACUGAGCAAGCCACCAGGCUAUGACCCCAGGGGCUCUGCUGAUGCUGCUGGGGGCGCUGGGGGCGCCGCUCGCCCCAGGUAAGUGUAGGCCUCCAAGGGGCAAUGACGGAGCCAGCGGUCGUGGCCAGGCACCAGGGCUGCACUUAGUCUCUCCUCCCCCAGGCGUCCGCGGCUCGGAGGCGGAGGGCCGACUCCGGGAGAAACUUUUCUCUGGCUAUGAUAGCUCCGUGCGGCCAGCGCGGGAGGUGGGAGACCGUGUCAGGGUCAGCGUUGGUCUCAUCCUGGCGCAACUCAUCAGCCUGGUGAGGGCGCGCGGGGGGUAGAGGUCAGGCCCGCCGACAGGCCGGGGGCGUGGCUUUAAGCAAGGCCGGACCGGGGACAGGCUGGGGGCGGGGCCUGGGACGAGACCAGGCUGAGAUGGACCAGCCUUUGGUGAAGAUUGGGUCGAAAUCAGACCAAUGGACAAGCUCUGGCCGUGGGUGGUGGACGGGCCUGGAGUAGAGCCGGGUGGGGUGAUGGACAGACCUGUGAUCGGACCUUAAAGUGGAGCUGGGGAUGAGGCAGGGGCUGGGGGACUGACCUCGAGGUAGGGCCACGUGGGUCCUGAGUGCCCAGGGUGGGGCGGAGCUUGGUGCUGAGGGGUCAAUAAAUGGCAGCGGGUGGAGGUUCGGGGCUGGGUGGAUUAUGAGCUGAAGGCAGGGCCCGGGACAGAGCUAGGCGGAGGGCUAGGCAGGGGCGGGUCUGGUAGGUUGAUAGGCUGGGAGCGUAGACGGCAGGAAGGGGUGUUUCUGAGAUAGAGGCAAGUCUUAAACUAACGCCGCUUCUGGGAGGUGGACUUGGAUCCAAGAGGGUGGGGCUC